CUGUGAAUAUUCUCAAUGUUCUUAUUUCAUAGUAAUCAGAAUAGUCUAAACAUUCACUAUUAUAAGACCAUGAAUGUGUAGCAUGUGGUUGACACG
RNAcentral lists this small nucleolar RNA (96 nucleotides) under Sorex araneus (European shrew). RNAcentral's name for it is "Small nucleolar RNA SNORA72 (ENSSARG00000018734.1)". It matches the Rfam family "Small nucleolar RNA SNORA72", at positions 1 to 96 of the family's 132-position model. From Rfam's summary of the family: U72 is a member of the H/ACA class of snoRNAs. The snoRNA gene is located in intron 4 of the ribosomal L30 protein gene in human, mouse and chicken. Lineage: Eukaryota; Metazoa; Chordata; Mammalia; Eulipotyphla; Soricidae. The record is from RNAcentral.